UUACAGAGCAACCUGCCACUGUGGAGG
RNAcentral lists this small RNA (27 nucleotides) under Bombyx mori (domestic silkworm). Its description in RNAcentral is "ovarian small RNA-36431". The record is from RNAcentral. Lineage: Eukaryota; Metazoa; Arthropoda; Insecta; Lepidoptera; Bombycidae.